AAGUCGUAACAAGGUUUCCGUAGGUGAACCUGCGGAAGGAUCAUUAACACGUGAAAACGUAUUAACCAAUCUAACCUUAAAACAACCCGUGAAUUUCACCCCUCCCUAUUCGCAAGUGCUGAAUUUGUGCGGUAUGUUGUAGGCUAUGAGCAAUCAUAGGCAACUGCAUGGAUUCUAAGGUUCAAAACCUGAGGCAUUUGUUGGUAGGCUUUUUCUAUAUUGCCCCUGCAACACAAUAGACAAAACAAACCCUAUGUCACCUUAAAAACAAUUGACUGAUGUACGCCAAAUGAGACAGAAAUGUCUGGAUUGGUACCAUUUAUUCUAACUAAGCACAACUCUUAGCAAUGGAUAUCUUGGUUCUC
Molecule: unclassified non-coding RNA, 365 nt
Filed under: fungal sp.
Lineage: Eukaryota; Fungi
Description: partial internal transcribed spacer region
Rfam family: Eukaryotic small subunit ribosomal RNA (bases 1-46)
Source: RNAcentral